Molecule: long non-coding RNA, 1817 nt
Filed under: Ananas comosus (pineapple)
Lineage: Eukaryota; Viridiplantae; Streptophyta; Magnoliopsida; Poales; Bromeliaceae
Description: long non-coding RNA (ACOM_LNC003600)
Source: RNAcentral
UAAUAUUACAAAACUCGAACCAAACGGGCCCUUAUGAGUAUUGGCUCCCUUAUACUCAUAAGUUUUUGGCCUUUAGAUUUAUUCCAUUGAUCAUUUCCACCCGUUAUAUCAUACUAUUAAACCAACUACCUACUCAACCCUAGGGGACCACUAUCAUUCUAAGUGGGGACCACCAUCAUCCUAACCACACAUUCCAUUAAUCAACGGUUAAAAAUUUAUAAGUAUAAGGGGGUCUAUACUCAUAAGAGUAUAGUAGCCCCAGCCUAUAUAUAUACACACACACAUAUAUAUAUAUAUAUAUAUAUAUAUAUAGAGAGAGAGAGAGAGAGAGAGAGAGAGAGAGAGAGAGAGAGAGAGAGAGAGAGAGAAUUGGGUUGAGUAGUAUUAAUAGUAUUUGACCUCUAUUGCUAUUGAAUUUUUAAUUUUUGGAUGAAAAAUUAGAGAAUUAGAAUGAUAGUAGUCAUCUAGGAUUUAGUGGUGGUCCUUCUCUAGAGUUGAGUAGAUGGUUGGUUGUAGUAUGAUUUAAAUGGUAGAAUUGAUUAAAGUGUAAAUAGAUCUAACAAAAGAACCAAAAUACUACUAAUAAUAUUCUAACUCAACUCUCUCUCUAUAUAUAGAAUUAUACUACUAUACUGUUGAUAGAACUCAACACUUGGUGCUAUCGAGUUUUUGGGAUUGAAAGAAUGUGCAGCUUGAUGAUAGUAGUCCUUUGGGGUUAAGUGAGUGGUUGAUUGAAUAGCAUAAUCUAACGAGUGGAAAUUAUCAAAGAAUAGAUCUAACGGUAGAAAACUCGAUAGUACCAAGAGCUUGGUACUAUUGAUAGUAUAGUAGCCAGACUUUCUCGAAUCCGGCUGUUAUCCUUUUAAUAGGAUAGGGACCUUCGUCCUAUCAAAUCAUUUUUGAUGAUAGAGAUUUCAAAUCGAUGAUUGGAACUGUUGAAAUUGAUCUAGAGUAUUUGAAUUAUUUAGGAACUAAAUUUUAUAAAAUUUAAAAUUUAUUUAUAUAGUGAUCAAAGGAUUACAAAUUUGAUAAUUUUUUACUGCCUAUAUGAGCCGUUUACUUGUUUAGCGGUAUGGAGUAAUCCAAACCGGUUGAAUUUUUGAUAAAAUUUUUUUUAUACUAUUUAGACAAUGUUUAAUAACUCCAAUCGUAAAUUGAGAAAGUCUAAACUCUGUUUUAAGAAGGCCAUUUGUUUUUAACCGUUCAUUUUUCGACUCUUCGAUAGACUUGAUAAUAAUUUUUAAAAAUUACAAAAUUCAGUUUCUAAAUAUUUCUAAUAGUGUAGAUUAAUUUUAACGAUGCCGAUUAUCAAUUUGAAGUUCCGAUCAUGCAUCUAAAAUGACUUGAUAGGAUAAAGCCUUCUAUCUUCUUAAGAAGAUAGUAGCCGAUCUCUCUCUCUCUCUCUCUCUAUCUCUCUCUCUCUCUCUCUAUAUAUAUAUAGUCCGGUUACUAUACUCUUAUGAGUACAAUCGCCUUCGUACUCAUAAGUUGUUUUCGACGAUAGAGCUUCCGAAUUGACGAUCCAUACCGUAAAAUAUUAUCUAGAGCAUUUAAACUUCUAAAAUUCAAAUUUUAUAAUUUUUCGAUAUCAUUUACCUUAUGAUCAAAAGUUCACAAAAUUGACAAUUUUUAACAGUCGGUACGAGAUAUUUGCUACUUUAACGGUAAAAAAGAAUCGGAAUAGGUUGAAUUGUGAGAUCCCUAGUGUUCAGCAGUGAAGGCUUGUCGACAGCUCUGGAGAGUGUCGGGACAAGUCUGAGUCACGUUGGCGCGAAAUAGAUGCAAAACGGACUUUGUGCGACACGAGAGCAGCAUUU